GGGUAGAGCACUGUUUCGGCUAGGGGGCCAUCCCGGCUUACCAACCCGAUGCAAACUGCGAAUACCGGAGAAUGUUAUCACGGGAGACACACGGCGGGUGCUAACGUCCGUCGUGAAGAGGGAAACAACCCAGACCGCCAGCUAAGGUCCCAAAGUCAUGGUUAAGUGGGAAACGAUGUGGGAAGGCCCAGACAGCCAGGAUGUUGGCUUAGAAGCAGCCAUCAUUUAAAGAAAGCGUAAUAGCUCACUGGUCGAGUCGGCCUGCGCGGAAGAUGUAACGGGGCUAAACCAUGCACCGAAGCUGCGGCAGCGACACUUUAGUGUUGUUGGGUAGGGGAGCGUUCUGUAAGCCGUUGAAGGUGUCCUGUGAGGGGUGCUGGAGGUAUCAGAAGUGCGAAUGCUGACAUAAGUAACGAUAAAGCGGGUGAAAAGCCCGCUCGCCGGAAGACCAAGGGUUCCUGUCCAACGUUAAUCGGGGCAGGGUGAGUCGACCCCUAAGGCGAGGCCGAAAGGCGUAGUCGAUGGGAAACGGGUUAAUAUUCCCGUACUUGGUGUUACUGCGAAGGGGGGACGGAGAAGGCUAUGUUGGCCGGGCGACGGUUGUCCCGGUUUAAGCGUGUAGGUGUGUGUUCCAGGUAAAUCCGGUUCACUUUAACACUGAGGCGUGAUGACGAGGCACCACGGUGCUGAAGCAACAAAUGCCCUGCUUCCAGGAAAAGCCUCUAAGCAUCAGGUAACAUCAAAUCGUACCCCAAACCGACACAGGUGGUCAGGUAGAGAAUACCAAGGCGCUUGAGAGAACUCGGGUGAAGGAACUAGGCAAAAUGGUGCCGUAACUUCGGGAGAAGGCACGCUGACACGUAGGUGAAGUGAUUUACUCAUGGAGCUGAAGUCAGUCGAAGAUACCAGCUGGCUGCAACUGUUUAUUAAAAACACAGCACUGUGCAAACACGAAAGUGGACGUAUACGGUGUGACGCCUGCCCGGUGCCGGAAGGUUAAUUGAUGGGGUCAGCGCAAGCGAAGCUCCUGAUCGAAGCCCCGGUAAACGGCGGCCGUAACUAUAACGGUCCUAAGGUAGCGAAAUUCCUUGUCGGGUAAGUUCCGACCUGCACGAAUGGCGUAAUGAUGGCCAGGCUGUCUCCACCCGAGACUCAGUGAAAUUGAACUCGCUGUGAAGAUGCAGUGUACCCGCGGCAAGACGGAAAGACCCCGUGAACCUUUACUAUAGCUUGACACUGAACAUUGAGCCUUGAUGUGUAGGAUAGGUGGGAGGCUUUGAAGCGUGGACGCCAGUCUGCGUGGAGCCGACCUUGAAAUACCACCCUUUAAUGUUUGAUGUUCUAACGUGGACCCGUAAUCCGGGUUGCGGACAGUGUCUGGUGGGUAGUUUGACUGGGGCGGUCUCCUCCUAAAGAGUAACGGAGGAGCACGAAGGUUGGCUAAUCCUGGUCGGACAUCAGGAGGUUAGUGCAAUGGCAUAAGCCAGCUUGACUGCGAGCGUGACGGCGCGAGCAGGUGCGAAAGCAGGUCAUAGUGAUCCGGUGGUUCUGAAUGGAAGGGCCAUCGCUCAACGGAUAAAAGGUACUCCGGGGAUAACAGGCUGAUACCGCCCAAGAGUUCAUAUCGACGGCGGUGUUUGGCACCUCGAUGUCGGCUCAUCACAUCCUGGGGCUGAAGUAGGUCCCAAGGGUAUGGCUGUUCGCCAUUUAAAGUGGUACGCGAGCUGGGUUUAGAACGUCGUGAGACAGUUCGGUCC
Molecule: ribosomal RNA, 1757 nt
Filed under: Salmonella enterica
Lineage: Bacteria; Pseudomonadati; Pseudomonadota; Gammaproteobacteria; Enterobacterales; Enterobacteriaceae
Also listed under: 1 other name
Description: partial 23S ribosomal RNA
Rfam family: Bacterial large subunit ribosomal RNA
Source: RNAcentral